Molecule: transfer RNA, 73 nt
Filed under: Brevundimonas sp.
Lineage: Bacteria; Pseudomonadati; Pseudomonadota; Alphaproteobacteria; Caulobacterales; Caulobacteraceae
Description: tRNA-Gly
Rfam family: tRNA
About the family: Transfer RNA (tRNA) molecules are approximately 80 nucleotides in length. Their secondary structure includes four short double-helical elements and three loops (D, anti-codon, and T loops).
Source: RNAcentral
GCGGGCAUGAUGUAGUGGUAGCCUGGCAGCUUCCCAAGCUGCUCGUGCGGGUUCGAUCCCGCUGCCCGCUCCA